AAGUCGAGCGCGAAAGGGAGCAAUCCUGAGUAGAGCGGCGGACGGGUGAGUAACGCGUAGGAAUCUACCUAGUAGUGGGGGACAACCCGGCGAAAGCCAGGCUAAUACCGCAUACAACCCACGGGUAAAAGCAGGGGAUCGUAAGACCUUGCGCUAUUAGAUGAGCCUGCGUCCGAUUAGCUAGUUGGUGAGGUAAUGGCUCACCAAGGCAACGAUCGGUAACUGGUUUGAGAGAACGACCAGUCACAUUGGGACUGAGACACGGCCCAAACUCCUACGGGAGGCAGCAGUGGGGAAUAUUGGACAAUGGGGGAAACCCUGAUCCAGCGACGCCGCGUGUGUGAAGAAGGCCUUCGGGUUGUAAAGCACUUUCGGCAGGGACAAACAAGACGGAGCUAACAUCUCCGUUCCUGAUGGUACCUGAAGAAGAAGCACCGGCUAACUCUGUGCCAGCAGCCGCGGUAAUACAGAGGGUGCAAGCGUUAAUCGGAAUUACUGGGCGUAAAGCGUGUGNAGGUGGUUUGCUAAGUCAGGUGUGAAAUCCCCAGGCUCAACCUGGGAACUGCAUUUGAUACUGGCGGACUAGAGUGUGGUAGAGGAUGGUGGAAUUCCCGGUGUAGCGGUGAAAUGCGUAGAUAUCGGGAGGAACAUCAGUGGCGAANGCGGCCAUCUGGACUAACACUGACACUGAGACACGAAAGCGUGGGGGAGCAAACAGGAUUAGAUAC
RNAcentral lists this ribosomal RNA (728 nucleotides) under uncultured bacterium. Its description in RNAcentral is "bacterial SSU rRNA". It matches the Rfam family "Bacterial small subunit ribosomal RNA", at positions 59 to 785 of the family's 1533-position model. The record is from RNAcentral.